This 484-nucleotide ribosomal RNA is filed under the name uncultured bacterium. RNAcentral's name for it is "partial 16S ribosomal RNA". It matches the Rfam family "Bacterial small subunit ribosomal RNA", at positions 30 to 507 of the family's 1533-position model. The record is from RNAcentral.
AUUGAACGCUGGCGGCAGGCCUAACACAUGCAAGUCGAGCGGAUGAAGGGAGCUUGCUCCUGGAUUCAGCGGCGGACGGGUGAGUAAUGCCUAGGAAUCUGCCUGGUUGUGGGGGAUAACGUCCGGAAACGGGCGCUAAUACCGCAUACGUCCUGAGGGAGAAAGUGGGGGAUCUUCGGACCUCACGCUAUCAGAUGAGCCUAGGUCGGAUUAGCUAGUUGGUGGGGUAAAGGCCUACCAAGGCGACGAUCCGUAACUGGUCUGAGAGGAUGAUCAGUCACACUGGAACUGAGACACGGUCCAGACUCCUACGGGAGGCAGCAGUGGGGAAUAUUGGACAAUGGGCGAAAGCCUGAUCCAGCCAUGCCGCGUGUGUGAAGAAGGUCUUCGGAUUGUAAAGCACUUUUAGUUGGGAGGAAGAGCAGUAAGUUAAUACCUUGCUGUUUUGACGUUACCAACAGAAUAAGCACCGGCUAACUUCGUG